This 30-nucleotide non-coding RNA is filed under the name Homo sapiens (human). Lineage: Eukaryota; Metazoa; Chordata; Mammalia; Primates; Hominidae. The record is from RNAcentral.
UCCCUGCGUUGCCUAGGGUAAAGCCUCCAG